RNAcentral lists this unclassified non-coding RNA (5221 nucleotides) under Hevea brasiliensis (rubber tree). The record is from RNAcentral. Lineage: Eukaryota; Viridiplantae; Streptophyta; Magnoliopsida; Malpighiales; Euphorbiaceae.
AUCAAUUAAAAGCAAAAAUAUAUCCAAAAUAGCACCUUCACGAGAAAGCUUAGGAACACACCAAACCAAUCGGGUCUUUCUCAGUUUUCACAAGCAAUUCGCUGUUCAAUCAAGUUUCAGACAGCCAACACACUAUGUAAAUGUCAAUUUAUUUCAGAAGGAUAGCCCUUUCAAGACUAGCCACCUUCCUAAGUAGCAGGCAAAAGUUCUAAGCAACAAAUACUGUUCCGCAAUUUAAGUUUACAUCAAUCAAAUACAGUUCUUGUUCUCUAUCUAUUCAUGUCAAGCCACCUAUGCCCCGAAUAAUCAGUGCGUAAUUUUCACUAUCAGAUCAAGGGAUCAAUUAGCUCUCUUGUUGCUCUGCUUGUGCUCCCAUUAGCUGUCUGCCGCACAAAUUGUCCCCGCACACGCGGUCGUUGCUCGGCUAAUCUCUUCCUGCUUUGGUACCGAACCUUUUUCCUGAAGCAUCGCUACUUUCUUUUCUGUCGAAAUUUGGUCAAGGCAGCUUCUCUCUGAGAAAACUUGCUCUGAUCUACUAGGUUUCCAUCCCCAGUUCCACUCCCAGUCCCACGGCCAUCACCACUUCCAGCUUUACCAGCGAUUCCAUUAUCACUUUCUACAUUAGUCCCUUCAGCAUUGACUGCAGUGCAACUCCCAUUUUGUCCAUUGCUCCCGUGGUUACUGCCAUGGUUACUACUGGAAGCACUUCCAUUGAUGCUGUAAUUGCCACCAUUACCUUCAACAGGACCACCCAACAAAUUGGAGGACCCACAAUGUGGAGGAGCUGCAGCCAUUUUCUUCAAUGAUGAAUUAUCAUGGUCAGGUGGCAGCUGUUGCUGUUGCUGUUGUGAUUGCAUGCUGUGAGGAGGAUGAUGAUGAUGAUGGUUAGCAAGGUGCUGAAUUUGGAGUUCCUGAUUGGUGCCUCUUGGUUGAGCUAGCAUUGUUGCACCGGCUACAUCAUUAGCUUUCUCUGAUAAAAUCUGCUGAGGGGCACAUAAUGGGUCACCUUUCAAUGGCCGGAAACUAGAAGGUGGAUGCAAAUAUUUGAUCGUGGAUGAUACUGCUGAUUUAUUUUUCAAGACCAUUGACUCAGUAAAAGUGUGAUUUGUGGUGGAACCCAUAUCAAUGUUAUUGCAACCAACAUUUGAGCAUUGAUUAGGAUGAUCACCAUUCGAAUGAGACAGCAUAUCACAAACUAAUCCUUUUUUGGUAAAAUCUAAACUAGAAUCAUGUGGGGAACCACUUUUAAUGUUUACACCAGGAGCCUUAUUUGAAUUUGAGGCCGCAUUAUACCUAGAAAAAGCUGAAGAGUCUGAACGUCUUAAGACAUUGCGGCCUUCCAAAACUGUAGUCCCGAUAUCCUUAGCUCCUCUAAGUCUUUUUAAACUAAGUUCAAGGGGCGGUGUUUCUUUAGCAUCAUUAGAGGCUGUAUUUUUUAUAUCUGAGAUCUUGGAAUGUCUACAUGAAGCCUCAAACUCUGUGCUAUCCAUAUGGGGAUCACAAACAUUUGUGAUGAAACCUGUCAGACUAGCAGCUUCAUACUUUAUUUUGCUUGAUGGACUCUCACUGUUGAGGUCUAGCCGUCCUUUAACAGUUUGUUCUUUGAGUUUACCAGAUCCCCCCUCAAGCACAUUCUUCUGUUUUGCACCUACAAGUUUGAUAGAAUCCUCAACUUGGUAUUCAAGUCGUAAAUCUAGAUUUCCUGGCACAACUUUCUCCAAGUCUUUACCAAUUGCAUUCUCAAGAUGUUCCUCCUGUUCUUCACGCUCCCUUAUAGUGGUUACAGGUGCCUGCUUGUUACCUGAUAUUUCAGCAUUGGAGUAGAUAACUUGUGCACAAGUACUGUCAGGACAUUCAGCAAUUUGAUCCCAAGGAGACACUGGCUGGGGACUGUCAACAUCUACAGCUCGUUUUGUCCAAGAGCUCUGGGUGCCACUCCCAUUGUCACUUCCACCCCCAACAUUUAAACCACUGCUUUCACUAUCAUCUUCAUCAUUGCUUCCAGUGCCGUUGUCAGACUUUUCAACACUCCUUGAUUUUACAGAUUUUUGAGUCUGUGUGCCACUUUCACUUCCACUAGCACUAGACUAAGGGAAAGAUGAGAAACUGAUCAUUAAGCAUAGAAAGAAAUAUGCACAAGCAUGAAACUGAAAACCAUAGUCAGUAUCAUCAAAGAAAUGUAGUUCCAAAUCAAUAUUGAAGAUAAAUCAAUCUAUCUCUAAAGGGUAAUCUAAGCAGUGAUGCAAGCAGGUGUAUUCAUUUUCAUAUGCCUUCAGAAAACAAGAGAAGGAGAAAAGGCAGUUGUCACUACAUGACGAACUAAAUUGUGUUUGAGGUAUGGAUUUAAAAUCUGAGGUGGAAGAUCCAACUACUCACACUAUGGCAUCUUCUCCAUACAUGCUGCCAAAGGUUCUUAAGUUCAUUCUUUCGUAUAGGCUUCACUAAAAAAUCAACAGCACCUUUUGACAAACACUUAAAGACUAAGCCCAUGGAGUCAUGAGACGACAUCACUGCACAUAGAUCUCAUCAGCAAAUAUGGUUAAAAGUAUCUGUUCAAGAAGACUUCAAAAAUAAACAGUAAACAAUCAAGCUUUAGUGCCAAAACAAAUAAAAUGAAUGAAUAAUUAAACUUACUGAUAACAGGAACAUUCUUGCGAGUUUUGUGGCUUAUAAUCUUGCAUAAAAGACCAAUGCCAGACAACUGAGGCAUAACUACCUCAGUUAAGACCAGGUCAAUGUGAUUUGUCAAAUCUUCUAGUAUCUUCCAUGCUUGCAAUCCAUUUGCUGCUUCAAUAAAUUUAGUAGGCAGACGUUAACAUUCUUGGUAGAUGGUGUCUGGAAUAAAUUGCUAUUGAUGAAAGUCUUAGUCAUAUGCCCAGUAAAUCUUUAGUUGUGUUUAUCAGCAAGUUGAUCGGUACUUUUUUAUAUGUAGUUAGCAAAUGACUAUUACUGACUAUAGCUCCAUGAGUUGAAGCCUCCAAGAAUCUAGGGUUAGUAUAGAUAUAUUGAGGAAAAAAUAGCUGCAUAGGAUAACUUUGAUAAUAAGAAACUUAUUCUUGAUUGUUUUGGCUUCUUCCUUUCGCUUCCUCUCAUUUCCCCCAUUUUUCUUCCUGAUUCCUUUCUCUCAUCACAUCUCUCUACAACUAAUAAACUAAAGAUUCAAGCUAGAGUGAUCCUUGAUCUCAGAUGAGAGCAGUUCCUACACUUAGACAAAAUAACAUGAUAAAAAAUUUGCAAAAAUGGUGAUUAUUUCCACAUGAAGAACUUGCAUAUCCACCAAUGCAAAACUCAAUAAUUGCUACAAGUACUGUUGCAGAAGUGAUGCAGUAAAAUUUUGCUAACAAAUUCUUAGGUUAGGCCCAAUGUUGAUGCAGGCCUCAUAGCCCAGUAUCCCUGUGAUUUUCAAACGCUAUCCAUGACUUGCAAAUUGAAAGGUUGAUGCGUAUGCUAAUCUGGAGAAAAAAUGGGCUUUUCAUCAAAUAAAGCUUUCCUAAAAGCACCUUAGCUGUGUUCCAGAAUCUAGCCACUUAUCAAACUAACAAAGUUCCUUCACAAGAUUACAUAAACUUGGAACAUUAGGAAAAGGUUACUGACAUAGCUUCCUUUCCAAAAUUCUUCUGCAGGAUAUUGCUAUCCAUGCAGUACUGGAGCCCUUCAUAUAAAUCAGACUAAUAAAGUUCCUCAACACAAACUUAAACUCACAUGAAGGGCAGAAUGCCAAUAAGUAUCUUAUAUUGGUUGUAGAUUCUUGUCAUUUAUCUGCAUAAAAAGGUCUCUUAACAUGCAAUUGAAAAUUUUGAAAAUUUCAGUUAUUUAACAUUCCUUCCAAUAUUGUCUGAAAUAUGCAGCACUUGCUGCAGGCACAAAGGUUAAAUCAGAACUCUGUACCCUUAAUUCAGUUUUCAUGACAAUUUUACUAUUGUAAUAAACCAUAAAGCAUUAAUUGUCACAGAGACCACUACACAAACCUUCAUAACUGCAGUUGCGAAGUAGGGCAGUAACAACAUGGCGUGUAGAAUCAUCAUUUUCAACCAGCAGAACCUUGAGGGAUCUCAGAUGGAGAAACCUCUCCCAACAAACUGUUCCGCCUUGAGACUGCUGUUGCUGUGCUAUUUGCAAUGCAGCUGCAGGUGCCUGAGGAGCCCCUCCAUGCCCAUGUUUUAUGCUUUCAGCAAUGCCAUUGACUUUCAAACCAGGAUGUUCGGGUAAAUUUUGCUCCUCGCUCAUAACUCCACCCUUAACUCUCUUGUUCCCACUGUGCAGCCGAUGAUUUAGUUACCUCAAAUCUUUGUCCCCAUCACCAUCAAUACUCUUCUAGACAUUCCCAGUCAAUCAGAUUCAAAAAGCCUGAUUACAAUAAUAAUAAUAACAAAGAAGGUACAACAGCUGAACAGUGAAAAAGCCUAUUCAAUCCACAAAACAAAAGGCACAUAGCGUCCUCUUAAAGAAUACAACCUCUAUAAUUCCAGACAGUUCAGCUCAACCUGAAACAGAGGAGCAAAUCACCAGGCAGGCAGUGAUACAAAGAGCAGAUUCAUAACAAAACGAACACCACCACCUCAGAUAUGACAAAUUGUGUUCAAUCCUCCAGAAGUGUUCUGAUUUUACCCUGAAAGAACAGAGCAUCAUAUCAGGUUAUUUAAGAUGUAUAUCAACCUAAACAGAGAAAUUGACACCAAAAAAGAAAAUAGGACCCCAAAUUUCAUUCUUAAUCUUAUCACAGCAACCCAUAAAUAUCAACCGAGACAGAGUAGAUUGUAGUUGACUAGCCUCCAUAUACUAGCCUCCAUAUACUAUAAUUGUACAAAAUACUGCAACAAACGCUAAUCUCAAGCAAAUAGAUAAUCAACAAAGCUUCUACCAUAUCAUCAACUUACUGCAAUACCCGUUUCUUCAAGCAUCAAAAUUUGCGUAAAAUAAACAACUAAAAUGAAUUCCUCACAAGAUUUAAAAAUUGAUAAAAAAAAACCUCUUAAACUUGCACAAAUGAGAGUGAAGAUUAAUCUCAAAAGCCUCAAAAGCCUCAUUAACCACCACUAUCAAGCUCGAUUAAGCAACAAAUCAUUAGAGAAUUUAACAUUGCAGAAAAGGAAAAUAAGCUAAUUCCAAGAUCAUUGGAAAAAAAUUAAAAAUUAAAUUUAUAAUUUAUGAAACAGUAAAAAAAAUUGAGCUUGAUUGGUGCAAGAAACAAAUAGACCAGAUCAAAAAGGAUAAAUCGGCG